GCCCUCAUCGUCUAGAGGCCCAGGACGGAGCCCUCUCAAGGCUCAAACCGGGGUUCGAAUCCCCGUGGGGGCACCA
Molecule: transfer RNA, 76 nt
Filed under: Chloroflexota bacterium
Lineage: Bacteria; Bacillati; Chloroflexota
Also listed under: 1 other name
Description: Chloroflexi bacterium tRNA-Glu
Rfam family: tRNA
About the family: Transfer RNA (tRNA) molecules are approximately 80 nucleotides in length.
Source: RNAcentral